CUAGUCGCACGGGAUAAGACAUGUAGCAAUACCUGUUUUAUUUAGUGGCGCACGGGUGAGUAACACGUGAAUUACAUGCCCUACAGAGGGGAAUAGCCCAGGGAAACUUGGAUUAAUACCCCAUAGUCUCGCAAGAGUAAAGGUGGCCAGCAAUGGCUGUCGCUAUAGGAUUGGUUCGCGCCCUAUCAGCUUGUUGGUGAGGUAACGGCUCACCAAGGCAAUGACGGGUACCUGGUCUGAGAGGACGAUCAGGCACACUGGAACUGAGACACGGUCCAGACACCUACGGGUGGCAGCAGUCGAGAAUAAUUCACAAUGGGGGCAACCCUGAUGGUGCAACGCCGCGUGGAGGAUGACGGUCUUCGGAUUGUAAACUCCUGUCAUCCGGGAGAAAGACCUGGGAGUGAAUAGCUCACAGGGUUGAUAGUACCGGAAGAGGAAGGGACGGCUAACUUCGUGCCAGCAGCCGCGGUAAUACGAAGGUCCCGAGCGUUGUUCGGAAUCACUGGGCGUAAAGGGAGCGUAGGCGGUUUGGUAAGUCAGAUGUGAAAUCCCGGGGCUCAACCCCGGAACUGCAUCCGAUACUGCCAGACUUGAGUAAUGGAGAGGUAGCUGGAAUUAUCGGUGUAGCAGUGAAAUGCGUAGAUAUCGAUAGGAACACUCGUGGCGAAAGCGAGCUACUGGACAUUUACUGACGCUGAGGCUCGAAGGCUAGGGGAGCGAAAGGGAUUAGAUACCCCUGUAGUCCUAGCAGUAAACGGUGCACGCUUGGUGUGAGGGGAUUCGACCCCCCUUGUGCCGGAGCUAACGCGUUAAGCGUGCCGCCUGGGAAGUACGGUCGCAAGACUAAAACUCAAAGAAAUUGACGG
RNAcentral lists this ribosomal RNA (869 nucleotides) under uncultured bacterium. RNAcentral describes it as "bacterial SSU rRNA". It matches the Rfam family "Bacterial small subunit ribosomal RNA", at positions 58 to 916 of the family's 1533-position model. The record is from RNAcentral.